This 13616-nucleotide long non-coding RNA is filed under the name Populus tremula. Its description in RNAcentral is "long non-coding RNA (PTRE_LNC002827)". The record is from RNAcentral. Lineage: Eukaryota; Viridiplantae; Streptophyta; Magnoliopsida; Malpighiales; Salicaceae.
AAAAAACGAAAAGUUUUGCUGAAAAAAGAUUGAAAUAAAAACCCUAACAUCCCAAAACUAGACUCGUACUUUAAUAAUUUAGAAAAGUAUUUUUAGUUAAUAGCGGUUUAUUGAAAACCUAAGCUGUUUGACUUAUCAAAUAAGAGAAAUUCUAAUCCAAAAUUACCAAUUGCUUAGAAACAAACUGUCGGUUGAGUCAUUAAUCAGUCUUAAUAACACAUAUUUUAGCUUCAUUAUUAUCUAAAAAAUGACAAAUUAAAAGGAAAAAAAGGGGUCAGAGAGGAGACAGAUGAAUCGUUUCUAUCUUUUACAUCAAUGUUUUUUUGUGCUGCACCAUGCAGCACGAUUGAGUUUUCGUCGCUUUCUUAUUUCUAGCUCCCUAUGUAUAUAUAUUUUAGAGCUAUCUCCAGCUAUAAAUACACUAUGCCAAUCCCGAAGUCCAGGUGUUAAACUGCAGAGUCUUGGAAUCGCCGACAUCACGCUCCUUCAUCCAUUCGAGUGGCUUGUUUUUCUUCUUCAAUUUCAUCUGUAAAGCACGCAUCUUCAAGCGUUCCUAAAGUAUGGAAGAAGCGCUUAGAAGGCUCGACGGAAUAUCGAGCCAUACACUAGAAACCAUCCUACACGAGCCCAUCAUCGCGGAUCUCCAGAAGAAAUCUGCACCUGCCAACACCGCUAGCACCGCAACAAACAAAAGGUCACUGAAAGAAAGUGGUGGGACUGGUGGGAACAUGAGGUACCGUGGCGUCCGCAGGAGGCCAUGGGGUCGUUAUGCAGCCGAGAUAAGGGAUCCUCAGUCGAAGGAACGGCGUUGGCUCGGCACUUUUGACACCGCUGAGGAAGCUGCUUGUGCCUAUGAUUAUGCAGCUCUAGCAAUGCGUGGUCUCAAGGCUCGGACUAAUUUCGUGUACCCAGGUGGUCAUUCUGCAACACCUGACCCUGCUCAUAACUUGCUCCCUCCGUUUACUUUCUCAAAUUCAUCUCAUCUGCCCCCUCGCCACUAUACUAUAUCCUCUUCAAAUUGCUCUUCUCUUGGUCACCCUCAUGUUGGUGACUUCUCUGCUGGUGGGUCUCCACCGCAUAGGAGUACUAGUGACAGUAUUGCUGGUACUUCUCUGAACAUGCUUUUUCUCCGUGAUUUCAUUCACUCCCCUUCAGGUUCGUCGUCUCAUAAACGUCCCCAACCUUUUUCUGAUCACUCUCCAUGCAUCAAUGGGUCCUCCAGCUCUGAUCCUAGCAAUUUCUCAGGCGGUUAUUUGGUGAAUCCUUCCAUUAACACUAUUUCUAGUUCAUUUAAUAUCUCUUUAGCAGACUCAACUGUCACUACUCUACCGCACAUGGAGUUUCAUCAGAAUUAUAGUACUCCUGGAGACCUGAAAAGGCCCGACGCUAGAGCUGAAGAGUUGGAAUUUUUUCCACAAGAACCAUCCGAUUCUGGUUUGUUGCAAGAGAUUAUUCAAGGGUUUUUCCCUAAACACUCCUCUGACAAGAUUGCGUCUUCAGAAAGCUCUGGAGAGUCAAUAGCUGCACCAACGUCUGAAAUAGUAUCUGUUCAUCAGUCACUAGAUGGGUCGAGGAGGGGCAUGAAGAAGUACUUUGUUAAAAAUGAGCACCAUGAUCCUUAUCCUGGUCAUCAAGGAAUAAGGUCGGGGCAGCUAAUUGAGGGUUGUUACAGUGGGGUUAGUUCUCAUGAACUUCCGCACUGUAAUGAGAUGCCAUUGAUCAAUCAUCAGAUGGGUCCGGACUCCAUUUUAGAUGACACUUUUCAGUACCCAGAUCGUAUGAGUGCCUUUGCUGCUAGGUUCCAGAAUGUUUGAGGUCUUGUUUCGGUGCAACGUCUAUUAGUUAAUGUUUAGUUAUAAGACUUCAAUUCAAAAGAUUAUAUAGCUUAAGUUACUAUGAUUUCCUCUUGGAAAUUUUGUUAAAUUAAGCUGAUCAUUAUAUAUGUUAUAUAUCCUCUUAACUCUUGAAGUCUACCGGAACCGUAUUUAAGUUAAUUUCGUGUUUUGUUUACAAUGGUCUCUGCACUCUCUCUCUCUGUCAUAUGUGCUCAUUGUUGACUUUGGAUCUGAAAAGGUCGUGUUUACUCGGCUUUAUGCUUCGCUUUGUGUUCUUUUUUACUGCUAUGGUGUACAGCCAGUUUAUUUUCAUUUUUGGUUCUUUCCUCGGAAUGUAUCAAAGUAAACCCUAAAUGGGUAAGCUGAAAAUCAUUCGUAGAAUCCGGUGUUGUGCCUGGGAUAAACUAGCUACUACCUGGGAAAAAUAUAAAAAUGGUACCUUACACUGUCCACUGGUAUCCAUGCCUUCCCCAGUUUUUGUUGCAAGUGAUUGUACUCCUCAUAUUUCUUUUUCUACUAUUUUUUUUUUUUUUUGCACCGCCCACGAUUGAUUCUAAUUUUAGAAGAACUAAAUGAUAAGUUCCAGAUAAAUUAAGUUUCUUCUGGGAGGCGAGGAGUUCCGUUCGGAUAGCAUCAUUGAAGAACCAGAGAUCCCAGAACGCCAUUGAUUUCGUUUACCAUGCUGUAAUUAGUAUAAAUCUCCAAGACUUCCAAAAUAAAGAGUAUGGUGCUUAAGUUAGCAUUCACUGAAGAGGGAAAGAGCCUUCAGAGAACAUGUUCAAUGUGUUUGCAUAAUAGAGCGGGGAGAGAGAGAGAGAGAGAGAGAGAGAGGAGACCCCUUUACCUUGGAAUUCAAAACCCUUUAUAUAGCUUUGAGCUCACAUGAAUUUGCUGGCAGACAAGUGCAAAAUAGACAAUUUAUAUGAUAUAUGUAUGAGCUUUGAAGAAAAAUUGAGAGAUUUAUUUUUGUUUAAGCCACUACCCCUCAAGAUUUGUUCGUUUUCCUUGGUGUUAAGCUCUUUAUUAUCAAGAAUUUGUGGUCUUAACUCGACGUCUUAACUUGAGUUUGGCUAUGACUCUAGUGUUGGAAGUAAUUAAAAUUUUAUAAAUUAUUUUUAUUUAAAAUUAUUAUUUUUAUAAAAAUAAAUAUUUUAAAUUAUAAUCAUUAUCAUACUCCAAACUACUCUCUUAAUUAAACAGAACAGUAUAAAUUUGAUGUUAUUUCUUUCUCCUUUAAUUUUCCAUUCUUUUUUAGUUAACACUUUAUAAUAAUAUUUAAGAGAAUCUAUAAACUUAAGAACCGAACCUUAUCUCAUGAAUAGUAUAGAGAAGUACAGUAACUGAUGAACUUGAUUAUAGCUAGAUUGGAUCCAAACUGAACCUGUAAAUUUUAGGUUAUAUGUUCAAGUUAAGGUUCAUAAUUUGUGAACCAAACCAAACCUCUGUUAGAUUAACUGAACUGAGUCUGAUAUAUAGAGACAUCCAUGCACGCAUUUUUUUUCCUUAUAUUUUUCAAUUCUUAAUACUCGAUAGCAGUGUUAGAAAUAAAUGGUGAUUUUACAUGUAUUGCCAUUCUUUUUAAUAUAUUUAGAACAUAAAACAACUAUAUAAAUCUAUAUGACUAUUAUAAUAAUUUGUUACUUUAUCUUAUAAAAAAAUUAUAAUUAUUUAUUGAAGUGUUAUAGUAAGGAUAUCCUUAGUUAUUGGAGCAACUUUUCUGCACGUAGAUUAAGUUCUUUCCUUGAUCCAAUGUCAAACAAGCCCCCUCUAUAAGAUAAUGAUUUUUAAUUUUUUAAAAAAUAUAUAUUGUUAAUUUUAUCAUCAUAUAUAUUCUACUUUUGGACUCGUAAGAACACAUAUUUUUUCUUGAUCAAUUUUAAGUUUGAUUUUCAACAUUAUUUAAGAUUGAGUUAUUUAUUUUGAACAUGUUUAAUAUUGUUAAAUUUAUGUUUUAUUUUGGCUAGUUAAGAUCUAAGAAAAUAGAAAGAAAAAAGCAGUAAAAUAAAGAAUAUUCAGCGCUUAUUAAAAUCAAGUUUUUUUAUUAAAAAACUAUAAAACUCUUAGAUUAAAAUAAAUUAAGUAUUCACUCUUGGAUUAAAAGUUAUUUAAUUGUUAAUUAAUCUCCAAGUCAGCUGUCCAAAAUCUAUCAUUGUUUUAUAACAUGAUUUUAAAUAAAUGUAAUUGAAGUACUGUAGCAACUUAUUUAUUCAUAAUAAUAAAUAUUAAUUAGGUAUUGAGUCCAAUAUUAUCGAAAUUAAUGUUGCAGUUAUGGACGACAUUUACAACUUUUAACGGUACCCAGUCCCACGCUUGGAAUAGUUUCUUCCGACAAGGAAGCGUACAAAUGUUGGAAGAUUCAGCAUUAAUUAAAAUCCAUCACUGCUGCAACCAUCAUCCGUACGGUCGCGCACAUAUUCUGAUCAAUUCCUCUUUGCCAGAAUAACCAGAUACGCAUACCCGUUUCGUACAUUAGCAUAUCCUGUGGGUCCUUUCUCUUCUGAUCUAGUUAUGACCCUAAUGUCAGUCUUGAUGGACUGUAAUUCAUCCACUUCCCACGGUUGCCCGAGGUGGCUGAGGCUUUCCUUUCACGAGCAGGACGGUGGCAACAAUGAUCUGGCUGCUUCCCCGCCACGAGAUUUGACACCGUUAUAAAUUAUAUAUCUAAACACGCUACAGUGUAAUUUUUAAAUAUAAUCUUUAGGGUUUUACUUAACGGUGAAGUGGAUCUUAAAUUAUACAGUUUGACCCAGAAAUAUUUUUUAAAAAAAUUAUGUCUGAGAUUUUAGUACUUUACAUUAAAAAAAAAAUUAAAACAAUGCAUGAGAUAUAGAUUAUAAAAAAUAAAUAUGAAGUAUGAAACGUGAUAUAAUUAUCUUAUAUUGAAAAGUUAAUAAAUAAUCCAUGUGAAUAUAAGUUAUAUAUAAUUAUUUCACAUUAAAAAAUUAAAAAAUAAUUUAUGUGGAUGUAAGCUAUAAAAAAUAAAUGUGAAGUGUAAUAUAAGUAUUUUAUAUCAAAAAAUUAACAAAUAAUCCAUAUGAAUUAGAAUAUAAAACAUAAAUGUAAAGUGUAGUAUAGCAUAAUUGUUCUACAUUGAGAAGUUAUGAAACAAUUCACGGAUAUGUAAGCUAUAUAAUUAUCUCAUAUUUAAAGGUUAAAAAUACAAUUUAUAUAGAUGUAGGUUAUAUAUAGCUAUCUCACAUCUAAAAGUUAAAAAUACAAUUUAUAUGAAUGUAAGUUAUAAAAACAACAUGUGAGGUUAAGUAUUCAUAAAUUGAUUUUAUAUUUUUAAGGUUUAUUAAAAAAAAUUAAAAAAAAAAAAAAAACCUGGCCUCACCUGGGUUAUGUUGAACCACCCGAGUUUUAGGUAAACCUAGCGGGUCGCCUGGGUUUGACCAUGCUAAUUGCAAGCUAGGGUUUCAUAACUAUGGCAUCCAUCAUAGUUAUGAAACUCGACCCGAGACUAACCUGGGUCAACUUAAAAAAAUAAAAUAAAAAAUUAUGUUUGAGGUUUUAAUAUUCCAAGUGAAAAAAGUUUUGAAAUAAUACAUGUGAAUAUAAGUUAUAAAAAAAGUGAGGUAUGAAGUGUGGUAUAGUUAAUCAUGCAUUGAAAAGUUUAGAAAUAAUCAAUGGGAAUAUACACUAUGAAAAAAUAUAUAUAGUGUAAUAUACUCAUCCCACAUCAGAAAUUUAAGAAACAACCAACUUGGAUGUAAGUUAUAUAUAGUUAUCUCAAAUUGAAAAAAAGAAAAGAAAAAAGAAACAAUGCAUGUAGAUGUAGACAAUAGAAAAAAAAAUACAUGAGGCAUCAGAUGUAAUAUAUAAUAUAAAAUAGAAAUGUGAAGUGUAGUAUGGUUAUCGCACAUCGAAAAGAUACUAAACAAUCCAUGUGGAUAUAAGGUAUAAAAAAUGAUAUGCGAGACUAAGUAUUUAUAAAUUAAUUUUAUAUUUUUAGGGUUUAUUAAAAAAAAUUAGAUAUCACCCGGGUUAUGCUAUGUCAUCCAUGCUUUGGGUUGACUAGGUGAGUCAUCCGAGUUUGACCAAUUCCAUUUGCAAGCCUAAGUUUUUAUGACUUCAAACCCGGCCAAUGCCUUUAAUUUCUCAAGUUUCAGGCUAACCUGUCAAGCCAGGCCAGACUUAGUUUCAUAACUACUGGGGAAAUGUGUAUUUUCAUGGAUCCAUAAAUUUUAGUGUGAGUUGCAAGCCAGGAUGGAGGACUUAGUUAUAUACAUUCUACAUGUACUUGAUGUAAAUGAUCUUUUAUCUUAGAAAUGGCACCAUUGAAAAUUUUUUCAAUUUUUUUUUUACCAUAGAGUUGAUUAAUUUGUUAUUUGCUUUUUUAAAAAAAAAAAAAGUUUUUUUAUAUUUUUUUCCUUAUACAUGAUAUUUUUAUCACUUUACACUUGAUCUAUUUAUCACUAUUUUUUUUUCCUAUCUUCAUUUUUUAUGAAAGUUUUUUAAUUCUUUUUCCUUUACACUUUCUUGAAAAGAAAAUGUUAUUUCUUAUUCAUUACACUUACAAUAUUUAUCACUUCAUAGUUGGCAUAUUCUUAAUGUCAUUAUUUUGUAAUUUGUUUUUUAAUUUUUUUCUUUUUUUAUCUACACUUUUUAAAAAAUUAGUAUACAAAGACUUCAAGAAAAUGUGUUACAAUGUAGCAAUUGUAAUAUUAUUUCAUUUUGCUAUUACAUUAAAAAUAAGCUUGAGAUCUUAUGAAUGUUUAUUAACGCAUAUUAUCUUCACUAUAUUUUACUAUAUAUAAGCAUUUACUUUUUAAUUCACAAAUAUAUUUUAACUUGUUGUCAAAAAACAUGUUAAUAACACCAACAAAUUAAUUCAUUUUAUGAUUUUUGUUGUAAGAAAACGCAUUUGAAAAGCUUUUGUAUUUACCUUUUUUUUCUAAAAAGAUUAUUUGACCUGAGGCAAAGUGUCAGUCCAAUAAGUAGUAAAAUAUAAAGAGAAAACAUUUAUUAAUAUUAAUUAGUUAAUAUAAAAAUAGAGUAAAAGGAAGAAAAAAAAAGAAAAAAGAAACAAGGGUGCUACCGAUGAAGGAGCAUUAACAGUAGCUGAGGAUAUGAAAUUUAGGCUUUAUUUGAUAUUGCUGUCAAACCAUGUUUUUGAAAAAAAAAAUUUCGGUUUAAAUUAUUUUUGGGUAUUUUUUAAUCGUUCUAAUAUACUAAUAUAAAAAAUAAAUUUUAAAAAUAAAAAAUAUAUUAUUUUAAUGUAUUUAUAAAUAAAAAAACAUUUAAAAAAAUAACUUUUACUAUAUUUCCAAACAAGCUAAUGAAAAUGAAAAAAUAUAUUAUUUUAAUGUAUUUAUAAAUAAAAAACAUUUAAAAAAAUAACUUUUACUAUGUUUCCAAACAAGCUAAUGAAAAGGAUAGCGAUAAAAGUUAGCUAUCCUAUUAAAUUAUCUUCAUAACAAACUUUAUUUAAUAAUUACAUUUUACUCAAAAAUAAAUUUAUUUUAUACAUAGUUAUUAUAUAAUCACGAUAUUAACAAAUUUAAAAUGUUGAAUGAGGUUAAACAAUAAUCUUACAUCACUUUCUAACAACUAUACUAAAAAUGUAAUUUCAUUUAAAUAAACUAAGAUGAUGUUUGAGAAGGUAAUAAUAAUUAUUUUUUAAAAUAUAUUAAAAUAAUAUUUUUUUAUUUUAAAAAAUUAUUUUUAACUUUAUCACAUUAAAAUAAUUUAAAAUCAUAAAAAUAUAUUAAUUUAAAAUAAAAAUAAUAUUUUUUAUUUAAAAAAAACACUUCUAAAAUCCAAUACCAAGCCAAAGCCAAGUGAAAUAUGUUACUUAUUUCUCAUUAAAAAAAAAAUGUCGGUCAAUUUAGAAUUUUCAAAAUUCAAAAGAUGUUAAUCAUUCUUUGGUAACUUCAAGGCAAAAAUUUUGUUUAUUUUUAUUUUUGAGUUGAUAGUGAAAAGAUUGAUUGACAAGCCAUUUUUACAGGCAAAAUUCGGGUGUGCGCGCGCAAGGAAUACGGAUUACCCCCUAGUCAAAUAUUUCAAAGGUUGAAACUUUUGCGGUUUCAAUUUGCUUUACAUAUUUUUAAUAUUAAUAUUUUUAAAUUAUUUUAAUAUAUAAAUGUUAAAAAUAAAAUUUAAAAAAUAAAAAAAUAAUUAUUUUAAUAUAUUUCUAAGUAAAAAAUACUUUUAAAACAACUAUAAUUACUCUUCCAAACACUUUUAAUUUUUGUAGUUGCUAUACUUUUAAAAAUAUGAAAUUAAGUUCUUUAAAUUAUUAUUUUUUUCUAUUGUAUUUUUAAAUUGUUUUAAUAUAUUAAUAUUAAAAAAAAUUAAUUUUAUCUAUUUUUAAGUGAAUUUUAUUUUAAAAAACAACUACCGUCACAAUAUAAAACACUACCAUAGACACAUUUUGCUUUUAUAUUUGAAGUUGAGUGUGUAUACAUUUUAAAAAUAUAUUUUACUUAAAAAAUAUUAAAUUGAUAUUUUUUUAAUUAUAAUGUGUUAUUAUCCAAAAAUUUUAAAAAUCUAAAAUAAAUAUCUUAAUAUAUUUUUAAUAUAUAUAUAUAAAACCACGCUAAACACAUUUAAUUUAUACGCUGGGGAAUGAUUCGCAGUUAUAAAAAAAAAAGAGGAGGCAGCAUAAUCGAUAACUCCGCUAUUACAGACCUCUCCUGACUAGUUUGUUCCAAAUCAAACCAUCUUUAUUCUCUGAGUUGUUGUUUUCUCUAUUUUAUAUAUAUAUAUAUAUAUAUAUAUAUAUGCUUUCUCUUAGCUGAAACUAAAAGCCUGCAGGAGUUAUUGCUCUGUAACCCUUUCCGUUUCUGCCCAAAAUAAAUUCUAAUAUCAUCGGAGGACUUGAUCAUCCAUUUCAACGUUCUCAAUCCCAGCCUACAACCUGCUUCAUGCGUGCAUGCCAGCUCCGUCCAUGAUCCGUCGCUCCUUAUCUGACACCUGCGCCGUCGGCAGCCCUGCCACCUGCACCGUCGGCAGCCCUGCCACCUGCACGCGAGGGACACCUAUUUUAAUGACCCAAAACAAUCCAAAGCCUUAGGAAAUCCUCCCGUCCAAGAUAAGUUUUUGCAUGCCAAAGCAUGCAUUAUCAGUGUUCUUUGAAUUUGUGAUUUCUUGAGGUAUGUUUAAGACAUUUUUUUAAUAAUUGCCUUGUUCUCUGGGUUGGGGUUUAUUUGAACAAACUUGGAGAAAAGGGUUUAAUUGAGUAAAUUCAAAGAACACUGGGGUUAUUUAAGCAAAUUAACUAAAAAAAUAAUCGAGAGGACUAUUUUGACAGCUGUGAAUCAAGAAAAGUAAACCGUGGCCGUAUAUUCCUAUUCACAUUAUGAUGAUAGGUUCAGGGUAGGGUGAUUUGUGCCUGUGUUCACUUUACAAUCUUGAGCAUUGAUUGUGUACAAAUAUUUCUUAUUUCUUAACUCUUAAAAAAUCAUAAAUAAAUAAAUAAAGAAGAGAGAGAAAUUUAUUUUCAUUGGAAUUCAAACUUAAAUUCGGCAAUUAAGACUAUCAAAUAAAAACUCCUAGCUUGACGGAAUCAUGAAUAUUAAAAUUAAAUCAUUUUGUCAUCUGUAUAGAAAAAUAUGCUGAUUUAAUUAUUUUGAUUUAAAAAUUUUAGAUUUAAAAUUUGCAUUGAUUUUUAUAUAUAUAUAUAUAUAAAUGGCUUUUGAGUUUAGAUUUGUGCUUGGAAGGUUUAGGAGAUUGUUUAUAUAUGUUUUUAGUAAAAACAACAAGAAAAUAAAAUCAAUAGGAUAUAUAUAUAUAUUCAAUUAGAGUGUGAUCAUGGAGCGUACUUUUUAGAUAAUUUUAAUAUAUUUAUAUCAAAAAUAUUAUUUUAAUACAUUUAUAAAUAAAAAAUAUAUUUACACCGUCCCAAACACUUUUUAAUUUGUUUUAAAUAAACCAUUAAAUUUAUUUGAAAUGAAUUUCUAAUCUGUCUUGGAUUCAGCUAUGUUGGGCUUAAUCUUGCUGGGUUACAAAGUUUUCCUAUUGAAAUGGGCUUAUAAUAAGUCUUUUAAAUGUAUAAUAAUCUCUCGAUAUUGAUAUUGAUUUACUUGCACAUAUUUGAGUAUCAAAUAAAUUAAUUUUCGUUGAUUCCCCCCUCUUCAAAUCUAUCACGGGAAGAAUCGAAGAUAAAGGCUGAUAUAAUACUUGAAUGUUAAUUAAAUUAAAUUUUUAAUAUGAUAUCAGCCUUUAAUGACAAAACAGUUAUAAGUUUAAAAUUUUAUUAUUUUUAUUUUUCAAUAAAAAUUAAACACAAAAUAAUAUAAAAUUUAGAUAAAUUUCAAAUUAAAAAAAAAAUUUACUUAAAAAGAUUUAUUAAAAAAUAAAAUAAAUUAUAUUUUAAAAUAUCAUUUAAUAAUUAAUAAUUUUAAAAUUUAAAUUAAAUUAAUUCUUUAACAUCAACAAACAAAGCAGAAGCUCCAAUGGGCCUUUUCAAUAGUACAGACAUGUAAAUGAAACAUAGUCAUUAACUGUCUUGGUUAACCAUGCGGAUUUGUAAGGAGCAAGAUGAUUCAAAUGACUGUGGAACAAAUUAAUUUCUCUCCUUGCUUUUUCUAAUUUUUAUUUAAUCUUCAAUUAAAAUCGUAAUAUAUUUAAAAAAACACUCUUUGUUUAUAUUCCAUUAUUUUCAUGUUCUAGUUUUUAUCGGAUUUCAUUUAAUUUUUUUCAUUAAAUAUUUUAUUAGAUUUAACAUAUAUCAAAUUCUUUAUACAUGAAAAAUAACAUUUAACAUGCCACUCACCAGCUAAUCAAGAUAAAAAUAUAUAAAAUAAACUUUAAAGGUGUAAUUUAAUUAAUUAGAUGUUAAGUUUGUUUUUUUAAUGAUAAGUCUUAUAAAUUUUAGAAUUAUUAAAUAUUUAAAACCCGUAAAAUUAUUAAGAUAUAUUUAAAUUAGCUGACCCCUCAUUAAUCUAAAAAAAUAGAUAAAAUAAUAACAUUAAUAAGAGGAAAGGAAUGUUUUGAACAUGAAAUUAACCAUAGGUAGUGGAAGAACCCUGCAAGCAUUGACCCAAAAACAGUCUUCUAGCUCCCUACCUCUCCCGCCUCUCUGUUCUUUUAUCUCUUCGCUGUAGAUCAUACUCUGUUCAUCUUGCUCGCUCUUCUUCUCAAGGGUAGGCCACCCGUAAUCCAAGCCCGUCGUCGUCAGUUUCAAAUCUUCCCACUGCAUUCCCAUGUUCCUUACAGUCUCACAAGCGUGGAUUAUUGACUUUGUGGGAUCCAUGAUUUAAGUUCUUAUGGAGAUAUGGUGGUGCUGGUCCUUUCGUUCUUUUGAAAACGACUCCUAGCUCUUGGUCUGGGUGGUGACGGUGACAGCGGCGUCUGAUUUGAUCAUUUGGAAAAGGAAGGAAAGGAAAGGAUCGCACAUGGCGGUGGGGACUCCCCUUCAACUCUUUUGCUUGGUUCACAGGAUUAGAGAGAGCAUCUUCAAUCAAUCUAUGCUAUAAGAAUCUUCCUUUGAAUGCUAAGUGUGUGGAGAUCCUUUCUUGUUAGUGCUCUUCUUCUUUUAAUAUUAGGAAUUUCUUUUGCAAAUUAGUACAUUUCAGGAAAUAAAAAACAAUUCAAUUUGAAUGAAUGGUUCAAUUAAUAUUUACUAGAAAUAGCAUAAACCUUGAUAAAUUUAAGAGGUUGCUUUAUUACUAUCAACGCAAAUGUUUAUUUAUUUUUUAAUUUCUUGUGUUGUUGAUAAUAAAUUUUUAAUUAUCUAAACUCUGCUAAUUUUUUUAUAAAAAAAAUUCAACUAUGCUGGUUUGAAAAGAAAAAAAUCUCUGAUGAAGUUAUUUUUCUUUUAAAAAAGAAAACUAUUUUCUUGGAAUAAAAUCAUUAGCUCGACAAGGGUCUCUUAAUUUGUGCCUUCCGAAUAAUAUUUUUAAAUUAUCACUUGUUUAAUGUUGUAUAUGUUUUCCAUUUAAUAUGUUUAUAAGCUGUCAUCGCCAUGGCAAGGGAAACUCUCGCAGCUCUCCCCAAUGUUCAACCUUCUCCAUUCCAGCGUCAGAGCGGUAUGUUUUUUAUUUAAAAAUGUACAGACCUGAAAACAUAAAAAGAAAAAAAAAAUAGUUUAAAAUAAAAAAAUUAAAAAAAAAUCAAAUUUCUUCCGAUCUCACCUUUGGAUUAUGACUCCAUAGUUGUAUCUGGUCAGUUAGCUAUUGACCCAUGCAUGAUUCACUAUCACCAGUGUCAGUCUGUCACAAAUCACAAAGAGGAAGAAAACCAUUUAUGCAAGAAAACAAGGGAUUAAAUGUCGUAUAGAACUAGCUUGCUGCAGCUUUUAAAAUAUGAAGUCGGGAAGAUAAUGGUGUUGAAAUUUGAAGGUGAUGAUUACUGGAUCAGAGUACUAACUAAGCACGUAAAACAGGGAUUUGACUAUCUUCAACCAGGGAAAUGACUAAAUUCUCUGUAUUGCUUGGAAAAUCGACAAUGGAGGAGCCAAAUGUUCAAUUAGGGAAUUGACUGAAUCAUAAAUGAAAGAUUAUUUAAUGGAGUAGCAAAAUGAAGAGUGCUGUCUUCCAGGAAUAUAUUAUCAGAAUUAAAAUUUCAAAAGUGAUUUUUAACAAAGGAUAUGAAAAUGUUUUUUUUUUUUAAUUUUUUAUAUUAUCACAUUGGAAUCAUGAGAGGGUGUGAGAAUUGAAAAAAAAAAACGAGAAAAAACGCCCAAGAACUUACACUUGCCGAUUGCGCACCAUAUGGAUUCCUUCAUUAAAAUGUUUUUUUGUCAUCUUGGAAGUUUAUUCCUUUAAGCUCCUCGUGUUCAACCUGCAAUUCAAAAUGAUCGACAGAGUGAUUAGAAAACUAAGUAAAAAUCAAUAACAAAUCGGAAAAAAAAAAACAAAAAAGCGAGUAAAGUAUUGAAAACAGACACGAACCAUGAGACACACCCCCAAAAAAUAGAACAGAGAAGGACACUGUUUGCAACGGGGACUAUGAAAAGCGAACUAGGGAAGACGAUACAGAUCGAUAACGCAGCAACACAUAAAUGAUGGGUGAUGGGCACGUUAAUAUCAAGCCACGAGAAAAAUAAUGGAUAAGGAGGAGAGCACGGCACCCAACGCAACUAGGAAGGAUCUUGAAAACAACAUAAGGCAUCUACUGGACGCGAAUGGGCGAUGGAAUUGGCAAUGAACGAAGGAAAGAGCUGUUAUGCACAGUAGUACUGGAAAAGAUGAUCCAAAACGCACCAUCACAAAAAGCUUUUGAACCCAAAUGAAAUAUUGGACUGGAAAUUCAUUCAUUUUCAGGACCAAAAAAAGCAAUCCCUUCUUAACGAUUUACAGUCACCAAAUACAUAUAUCUCAUGAUCAUAUUAGCUACUGCAAGCCCCAGUGUUCCCCUUUCCAUUUCUCUGUUUCUUUAGUUAUAUUAUACGUUGUUCUUUCCAUUUAUAUAUGCCAAAUAUGUCCGGUCUCAGUUCAAUUGAGUCUGCAGUUAUUGCCAAUGAUUCCCGUUGUGAACAAGGUAGAUAUGGCCAGGAUUCCCAUGAGCAUGGUAACCAUAUUGAUACUGAGGAGGCGGAGGGGUCUUCUUCUUUGAAGAAAACGCUACUGGCUUCGACAUCUGAUGAUAGUAGCACCUUGGAGUGGUAGAAGUUGAAGCAAUGGUGGCACCACCAUAGCUAUUAGAGGGUGGGGAGGAGGAGGAGGAUGAGGAGGAGGAGGAGGAGGAGGAGGAGGAUUUCGAAGAGGAAGAAUAUAUUUUUUUCGGGAGCGAAAGGAAAGCCCUGAUCUUUAAAGAUGCAGUCGGUGUUGCUGCUCCUGCUCGAUCGUAUUCCUCGAUGAGAUUUGCUAGAUCCUCAUCCGAGGUGAUCGAUACCAG